AACUGGUAUAAUAAUUUCGCAUUUAUUUUAAAUUUCAAGUCAACAAUUUUAAUAGUAUAAACAUUGAUUAAUACUCUGAAAUUGAGGACAUUUGUCAAAAGAUAUUGCUUUGUAAUUUUAUCUGCAGAUCAAACUGAAAAGUGGCCGAUUUUUUAGGUACAUUUAACCUACGAAAAUGGAUAGUUUACAUGUCAUCAUUUUCUGUUCAUUAAGUAACAUUCACUGAUCUAAUUCUAUUUAAAUUUUCAUGCUAGGUGAGUUUUGAACCCAGGAUUAUAUAUGUGAAGUUUAGUUUUAACCAGUUGCCUAACAUUAAAGAUUUUUCUUAAAUAGUCCCAAAAGUGGCCGGAAUUACGUACAUGACCAGUAAAUAUAAUAUAUUAGCACUAUUUUUUUUUAAAGAUAUUCAUUUUUAUUUCGCAUUUGUUAUCAAAAUAUUGACGAAGCAAAAGCCCUUUAUACAUGCUUUACGUUACUGUAACCAGUGUUUUUGCCCUCCAGUCAAUGCGCAUGCGCGGAAAUAUCGAAAUGUAAACAAUAACAAUCAACACUUGACAAGGAUUAGUCGAAGGAUUUGUAACGCUUUAAGUCGCGAAGCUGUGUUAGAAUUAGAUGAACACCAUCAAACCACGCGGAAGUUAAUAUGCGGCAAGUUAAUUAUCAAAACCACAGUGACAGAGACGGACCCAGCUUCAUUCUGUGAUGUUUUCGGAAAGCUAUUUCAACUAACUAUGCAAACAUACCAUUUAAUAUGUAUUUUGGCAUAAUCAAAACAAAGUGUAUGUAUUGAUA
Long non-coding RNA from Dreissena polymorpha, 792 nucleotides. RefSeq lists it as uncharacterized. NCBI's taxonomy places the organism in Eukaryota, Metazoa, Mollusca, Bivalvia, Myida, Dreissenidae. The transcript is spliced from 2 exons. The record is from RefSeq and is a predicted model, not a curated record.